Molecule: ribosomal RNA, 766 nt
Filed under: uncultured Streptococcus sp.
Lineage: Bacteria; Bacillati; Bacillota; Bacilli; Lactobacillales; Streptococcaceae
Description: bacterial SSU rRNA
Rfam family: Bacterial small subunit ribosomal RNA
Source: RNAcentral
GACGAACGCUGGCGGCGUGCCUAAUACAUGCAAGUAGAACGCUGAAGAGAGGAGCUUGCUCUUCUUGGAAGAGUUGCGAACGGGUGAGUAACGCGUAGGUAACCUGCCUUGUAGCGGGGGAUAACUAUUGGAAACGAUAGCUAAUACCGCAUAACAAUGGGUGACCCAUGUCAUUCAUUUGAAAGGGGCAACUGCUCCACUACAAGAUGGACCUGCGUUGUAUUAGCUAGUAGGUGAGGUAACGGCUCACCUAGGCGACGAUACAUAGCCGACCUGAGAGGGUGAUCGGCCACACUGGGACUGAGACACGGCCCAGACUCCUACGGGAGGCAGCAGUAGGGAAUCUUCGGCAAUGGGGGCAACCCUGACCGAGCAACGCCGCGUGAGUGAAGAAGGUUUUCGGAUCGUAAAGCUCUGUUGUAAGUCAAGAACGAGUGUGAGAGUGGAAAGUUCACACUGUGACGGUAGCUUACCAGAAAGGGACGGCUAACUACGUGCCAGCAGCCGCGGUAAUACGUAGGUCCCGAGCGUUGUCCGGAUUUAUUGGGCGUAAAGCGAGCGCAGGCGGUUUGAUAAGUCUGAAGUUAAAGGCUGUGGCUCAACCAUAGUUCGCUUUGGAAACUGUCAAACUUGAGUGCAGAAGGGGAGAGUGGAAUUCCAUGUGUAGCGGUGAAAUGCGUAGAUAUAUGGAGGAACACCGGUGGCGAAAGCGGCUCUCUGGUCUGUAACUGACGCUGAGGCUCGAAAGCGUGGGGGAGCAAACAGG